Molecule: ribosomal RNA, 153 nt
Filed under: Ichthyophthirius multifiliis
Lineage: Eukaryota; Ciliophora; Oligohymenophorea; Hymenostomatida
Description: 5.8S ribosomal RNA
Rfam family: 5.8S ribosomal RNA
About the family: 5.8S ribosomal RNA (5.8S rRNA) is a component of the large subunit of the eukaryotic ribosome. It is transcribed by RNA polymerase I as part of the 45S precursor that also contains 18S and 28S rRNA. Functionally, it is thought that 5.8S rRNA may be involved in ribosome translocation.
Source: RNAcentral
AGAAAAUUUUCAACGGUGGAUAUCUAGGUUCCCGUGACGAUGAAGAACGCAGCGAAAUGCGAUACGCAAUGCGAAUUGCAGAAUCCGCGAGUCAUCAGAUCUUUGAACGCAAGUGGUGGAGGCUAAAACCUUCAUGUUUGUAUCAGUGUGGAA